RNAcentral lists this transfer RNA (72 nucleotides) under Ovis aries (sheep). It matches the Rfam family "tRNA". Rfam says of the family: Transfer RNA (tRNA) molecules are approximately 80 nucleotides in length. Lineage: Eukaryota; Metazoa; Chordata; Mammalia; Artiodactyla; Bovidae. The record is from Rfam by way of RNAcentral.
UCUCUGGUGGCUUAGAUGGUAAAGAAUCUGCCUGCAAUUCAGGAGACCCAGGUUCAGUUCCUGGGUUGGGAG